Molecule: unclassified non-coding RNA, 358 nt
Filed under: soil metagenome
Description: partial contains 5.8S ribosomal RNA, internal transcribed spacer 2, and large subunit ribosomal RNA
Rfam family: 5.8S ribosomal RNA (bases 1-120)
Source: RNAcentral
GAUGAAGAACGCAGCGAAAUGCGAUAAGUAAUGUGAAUUGCAGAACUCAGUGAAUCAUCGAAUCUUUGAACGCACAUUGCGCCCGUCAGUAUUCUGGCGGGCAUGCCUGUUCGAGCGUCAUUACGCCCCUCAAGUCCCCUGUGGACUUGGUGUUGGGGAUCGGCGAGGCUGGUUUUCCAGCACAGCCGUCCCUUAAAUUAAUUGGCGGUCUCGCCGUGGCCCUCCUCUGCGCAGUAGUAAAACACUCGCAACAGGAGCCCGGCGCGGUCCACUGCCGUAAAACCCCCCAACUUUUUAUAGUUGACCUCGAAUCAGGUAGGACUACCCGCUGAACUUAAGCAUAUCAAUAAGCGGAGGA